This 164-nucleotide ribosomal RNA is filed under the name Pectis coulteri. RNAcentral describes it as "5.8S ribosomal RNA". It matches the Rfam family "5.8S ribosomal RNA". Rfam says of the family: 5.8S ribosomal RNA (5.8S rRNA) is a component of the large subunit of the eukaryotic ribosome. It is transcribed by RNA polymerase I as part of the 45S precursor that also contains 18S and 28S rRNA. The record is from RNAcentral. Lineage: Eukaryota; Viridiplantae; Streptophyta; Magnoliopsida; Asterales; Asteraceae.
AAACGACUCUCGGCAACGGAUAUCUCGGCUCACGCAUCGAUGAAGAACGUAGCAAAAUGCGAUACUUGGUGUGAAUUGCAGAAUCCCGUGAACCAUCGAGUUUUUGAACGCAAGUUGCGCCCGAAGCCAUNUGGUUGAGGGCACGUCUGCCUGGGCGUCACGUA